AGGGACAUCAGACAGAGCUACAACCAGUGAGGGACAAAAGUGAGGCAGCUGCUGAAGAGGUACUUCAUACUGUCAUUGACUGAUAUCACUAUGGUGGAGAUGCAGGUGGCUUUAGAAAUAUGCUGAAUUGGUUUGAUCCAGAGAGGCAGUUAUGCAUAAGAGCAACCACUCUCUAUUGAAUUAGGAGAUCUCUCAUGCAACACAUCUCACCAAUUACAAGUCCCCAUUAGCCACCACGAUGGCUGGAGAAGAGUGGAUCAUCACAAAUGGUGACAACUGUGGUGCUAUCCCACUGUCAAUGCAGGAGAGAGCAAUACACACAAGACAGUUCAGUUCACAAGUCCAUCAGAAGCAGACUGCAGUUGCAUGAAGGCGCUGGCAAGUGAAAUCGAGGACCAUUAAUUAACCCAGGAGCAGAGUGAGGGGUUUCCUGUGGAAGCCAAAGGAGGGCCUCGAUUUCCUGUAACUGGAGUCCCAGAUGCAAAUCCUUGAAGAAGAGAGAACUCAUGCUGAGCUGCUUGUUUCGCAUCCCAAAAAGGACUCAGGAGGACUGUUCAUCUAUUUAGUGACAGAAUUUUCCAUGCUCAAUAAAUUCUGCUGCUUGGUAACUGAA
This 613-nucleotide long non-coding RNA is filed under the name Mus musculus (house mouse). Its description in RNAcentral is "predicted gene 12665 (Gm12665)". The record is from RNAcentral. Lineage: Eukaryota; Metazoa; Chordata; Mammalia; Rodentia; Muridae.